Molecule: long non-coding RNA, 777 nt
Organism: Hirundo rustica (Barn swallow)
Lineage: Eukaryota; Metazoa; Chordata; Aves; Passeriformes; Hirundinidae
Exons: 5
Source: RefSeq, a predicted model, not a curated record
CAGUCUCUUUCGCUUAGGAUUCCCAGAAUGUAUCCCAGGUGCUUUGAGCUGAAGAUUGGGAUAAAGAGCAAUAUCUUGUACAGUGGAUGUUGUUCUCAGCUCUGAACUGACGUCUAGCUGAUGGCAAGCUGGCAACUUACUUCUCUCACCCUGCUCCUUAAGGACAAUUGGAAAGGUUUCUUUCUCUGUGUCUUCAAAAUUCAAGGUGUUUGAUAUGAAAGGAGGAAGCACAUCUUUUAAAGAAGAGUAAAUAUAAAAAAGUAAGCCCAUGGUAGAGUCAGUCUGGUAACUGCAGGAAAAGACACCUCUGUGAAACAGGCCAAAUGAACAUCCCUGUAGUUGGUGCAGUUUCCUAAGGACUGUUUCCACCCCUCCUCUCUCUGUUUCUGAGAAACUGUUAGGCUGAGAUGAGUAGUCUGCAGUACCUGCCAUAAGGAGGCAGAGAGAAAGCUUGCAUUUCACUUGCCGUUCACAACAUGGAAACCAGACGAAGAGUGUACUUGCAGAAAUUAGUCCAUAGCCAACAGCUUUCCCUAAGCUAUAUAUUCAAAAUAUAUUUUGAACCAUUCUGAAGGCUGGAAGAAAUGUGAAAGAAAAAUGUCUCACCAUUUUCCAGCCUCUCUGGCCAUUGAAUUUUUAUUAAGUUCCAAAAGCUGGGAAAGUCUAAAAUAUAUAGCUGUCUGCCUGCAGGAAAUUCAACAAUCACUUAAUUGUUUUGUCUUCUGAAAACAAAACCAUGAAAAAAAAGUGCCUUUCUAAAGAGUUCCAGCUCUCUUC